UUGGAGAUGGCUCUACUCUUCCAAUCCAAAAUAUCGGUUCCAGUUUUCUUCCCACUUCAUCUGGAAAUUUUCUACUCAAUAAAAUCUUGCAUGUUCCUUCCAUUACAAAGAACUUAAUUUCUGUUCGUCAAUUUUGCAUUGAUAAUCUAGUUUAGUUUGAGUUUCACGCUCAUUUUUUUGUUGUGAAGGAUUCUCGCACUCGGACAACUUUUCUUCAGGG
Molecule: long non-coding RNA, 220 nt
Organism: Juglans microcarpa x Juglans regia
Lineage: Eukaryota; Viridiplantae; Streptophyta; Magnoliopsida; Fagales; Juglandaceae
Exons: 3
Source: RefSeq, a predicted model, not a curated record